This is a long non-coding RNA of Oncorhynchus mykiss (rainbow trout), 955 nucleotides long. RefSeq lists it as uncharacterized. Lineage: Eukaryota; Metazoa; Chordata; Actinopteri; Salmoniformes; Salmonidae. The record is from RefSeq and is a predicted model, not a curated record.
UCUUGGAGGAGUGUUUCCUGACCGAUUUCAUGUUUGUCCCCCAUGAGACACCGUAGACGCGGAAGCCUGUUUCACUUCCUUAAAAUCACCAGGAUGAAUCUAAGAUGGAACCCACCUUGCAGGGUGAGCUGUUUGGACAGUUUGGUAGCGAUGUCCAUGCCAUUCUUCAGCCAUGCCAGUUGUGGGUUGGGGAUACCCUCAGCAUGGCACCGGAGACUGGCCGUCACCCCUGGCUCCCGUGCCUGGCUCUCUGGGUAGACGCGGAUGACGGGAGGAACUGCAUUGUGGGAAGAAGGAAGAGGAGAAAAGAUGAAUCUAGCUCUGGGCCACCCAUGGAGGUUUCCAAACAUCAGAGAGAGGGAACCAUACACGGAUGCUCUACAUCCCUACAGCCAAUGAGGACCAAGACUGUGAAAGACAACUUCACCAAGUCGAGGGAUACAAUUUACGUGAAUACGUACACAUACACCAAGUUCGAACAUGAACAGCCCCGGACACAAGAAUAAUGCUCAAUGUGGCUUUUUUUCACAAAUUGUCACCGCAAUUGCUCAGUGCUGAUUAACUUGUCUAAAAAGCCUAUGAUAGUAAUCAAUGUAAUAAGCAUGUAAUAACAUAUGGAAAGCCUGUAGAGGGGAGAUUUUGCUGAGUCAUCUGGCUGUAAUCAGUUGUUUUCCAUUACUCAAGCAGCUAUGCAUCAUAAAAAUAAGAAUUUGUUCUUAACUGACUUGCCUAGUUAAAUAAAGGUCAAAUAAAAUACAUAAGCAUUUGUCUAUAAUGAAAUGCAUUUCUUCCAGUUUUCACACGUCAUAUACUUAUGCCCUUGUGCAUUUCUAUAUAAUAAACUGCAGUGGUAAUCAAAAGGUGGUAUUUUUAGACCGAACCCUGAACUGUAGUUCCAAAGAAAGGCGAACAUUAUCCCCUGACAAUUCUGAUGUGAGUUUUUUCAAUGUUUUGA